AUACCUCUCAGCUUUUGGAGUGAUAGUUAUUGCGCGUGUACAGUGUAAUCUCGCGGACCCUUGGAGACCCUGGUAUAUUAUAACCUCUGGCUUGCGAGACUAUGUACAGUGUAUGUUAUAAUUUUGGCGGGUAAUUAUUUUUCAAGGGUAGACUCUAUAAUGAACAGGCACUUUUUGCGGUUGAUAUUUUCGCGGGUUGGUGCAAUUUAUGAAAUGCACAUUGACAAAACAUAAUUAUUAGCACUCGAAGAUUAUACCCGCCAUAUACAUGUACCAUAUAGGUAGAUAUGCAUGUAUGUGUGUGUGUGUGUGUGUGUGUGUGUGUGUCCACAAAGUUCCUUACACACUGCAAAAACACUUUUGUUAUUGUGACACAGUUUGCUACCGGCACAAAAUGUUAUCUUGACAAAACGUUUGUCAAUUUCCUGCAAUUAUUGUUAUGACGACAAAUCAUAGUUUAUUUAACUAUUAAUAUAGUUUAUCUAACUAUUAAUAUUUGUUAUUAUAAUGGUAGAUUGUUAUUUGAACACAUGUGUUGUCAUUUUGUCGAAGCGUUGUUGAUCUCACAUUUAGUGGAAGUUACCGUUCAUUGUCAAAUUAACAUUAAUGUGUGACAAUAACAAAUUAUAAAGUUACAGCUAGAACUCUACUAAAAGCCGAUACGUGCAAGUUUGCAUCACUGAUUUCAACCUACUCAACCUAUACUCGAUUAUACCCUAGGUCGUAAUAAAUUGUCUACACUGAAACAUCUCAGUUGCCCUGAUGCUUAUAUCUUUGCAUGCUCAUGUUCAGUUGUGUAUGUAGCAAUUGGAGACUUGUGACUGGGCAUGGUAAGUUACAGUGGCAGUGAAGAAGUCAGGAGCCUCCAGAGUCCUUCAGUGCAGUGCAGUGCAGGCAGCCUUCUCUCUAUAGCCUCCUUCACAAGGCCUGGCCUGAAGAGCGGCCUGGGAUCGAGCUUCUCUCUAGCCUCUAACUCUAGCUAGUCUCGAGGCCAGGAGAGUUUGGCCUCGAGACUAUAAUUAUAAGCUGGAACUAUAGGUGUGGCAUGAGGGGGCGUUCAGGAAUAACAGGGCGAGGCCUCAAACAUACUUAGCACAUGGUGCUUGCAGCUGCCAGACUGCAGCUGCUCAUGCAGCUUUAUACCAUCACUGACUGCAUGCCUGUACCCCUGGUCCUGGGCUACCAUGUUCCAUGUACACCAGCUAGGAUCUAGGAGUCAAGAGUCACCUGCAUCUGCAGCUUGAAAGAAAAGACAAUUGCAAAUUUUCUUAAAGAGUAGAUAGUACCACCAUCUCAAAGAAAAAAGUUAAGUUCCAUUGCAUGCUGUUGGCGCAUGGCAUGUACAUGAUCCCAAAACUCUCUGAAUUCACAGUUUACAAAUCACUGCUAUACCGUAUCGGCGUAUAACUCCACCAUGUACCAGCUUCAAAGAAAAAGGAUUUAAGUUAUGUUGCUCAUUGCUAAAUAAAUGUGUUUACGUGUUUCUUCCAGCUGCAGAUUUUACCGUACCUCGGCCCCACAAUGUGUACCAGCUAGGAGUCUACUUAACCACCUUCAUCGACUUCAAAGAAACGACUUGCAAGUUAUGUCAGAUUCCAUAAAACUAUAUAGCUAGCUAGAGGGCAACUGUCCCUGGCCUGGUUUCGACUUUCAUCUGUAGCAUACUGAUUUACGAGUUUGUGUCUUCAUGCACUGGUUUCGACUGGUCAACUUCGUCCAUGGGGUGAUAGCUAGUAUACUGAUUUAUGAGUUUGUGUGUAUGUGUCCUCAUGUGUCAGUUACACUGGUUUCGACUGGUCAACUUCGUCCAUGGGGUGAUAGCUAGCAUACUGAUUUACGAGUUUGUGUGUAUGUGUCCUCACGUGUCAGUUACACUGGGGGUGAUAGCUAGCAUUGUAAUUUACCAGUUUGUGUGUAUGUGUCCUCACGUGUCAGUUACACUGGUUUCGACUGGUCAACUUCGUCCAUGGGGUGAUAGCUAGCAUUGUAAUUUACCAGUUUGUGUGUAUGUGUCCUCAUGCGUCAGUUACACUGGUUUUGACUGGUCAACUUCGUCCAUGGGGUGAUAGCUAGCAUUGUAAUUUACCAGUUUGUGUGUAUGUGUCCUCAUGUGUCAGUUACACUGGUUUUGACUGGUCAACUUCGUCCAUGGGGUGAUAGCUAGCAUUGUAAUUUACCAGUUUGUGUGUAUGUGUCCUCACGUGUCAGUUACACUGGUUUUGACUGGUCAACUUCGUCCAUGGGGUGAUAGCUAGCAUUGUAAUUUACCAGUUUGUGUGUAUGUGUCCUCAUGCGUCAGUUACACUGGUUUCGACUGGUCAACUUCGUCCAUGGGGUGAUAGCUAGCAUACUGAUUUACGAGUUUGUGUGUAUGUGUCCUCACGUGUCAGUUACACUGGUUUCGACUUCGUCCAUGGGGUGAUAGCUAGCAUACUGAUUUACGAGUUUGUGUGUAUGUGUCCUCAUGUGUCAGUUACACUGGUUUCGACUGGUCAACUUCGUCCAUGGGGUGAUAGCUAGCAUACUGAUUUACGAGUUUGUGUGUAUGUGUCCUCAUGUGUCAGUUACACUGGUUUCGACUGGUCAACUUCGUCCAUGGGGUGAUAGCUAGCAUACUGAUUUACGAGUUUGUGUGUAUGUGUCCUCAUGCGUCAGUUACACUGGUUUCGACUGGUCAACUUCGUCCAUGGGGUGAUAGCUAUAGCAUACUGAUUUACGAGUUUGUGUGUAUAUGUGUCCUCACGUGUCAGUUACACUGGUCAACUUCGUCCAUGGGGGUGAUAGCUUAUACUAUUUACAUUUUGCACUACAUAUGUGUUGGUAACUAUAGUGACUUCAAUCUUUUGUUCUGUAGGGGCGAAAAUGAUCUGAGGGAUGUAGCGUUCAUGAAACCAAACGAAACGCCUGCAGUUCACUGUACUGGAAUUUCAAGAAAUGCUAAGUGAUGAACACUAAAAACAAUUUACUGACAGAAGAAAUUAUUGUGCUGCAUGUCAUGUGAUCCAGUGAUCUUAUUCUAUCAUAAACUCAUUGUUCUAAUACCGUUUGA
Halichondria panicea is the source of this 3049-nucleotide long non-coding RNA. RefSeq lists it as uncharacterized. The record is from RefSeq and is a predicted model, not a curated record. NCBI's taxonomy places the organism in Eukaryota, Metazoa, Porifera, Demospongiae, Suberitida, Halichondriidae. The transcript has 2 exons.